GACGAACGCUGGCGGCGUGCUUAGCACAUGCAAGUCGAACGGAAAGGCCCUGCUUUUGUGGGGUGCUCGAGUGGCGAACGGGUGAGUAACACGUGAGUAACCUGCCCUUGACUUUGGGAUAACUUCAGGAAACUGGGGCUAAUACAGGAUAGGAGCUCCUGCUGCAUGGUGGGGGUUGGAAAGUUUCGGCGGUUGGGGAUGGACUCGCGGCUUAUCAGCUUGUUGGUGGGGUAGUGGCUUACCAAGGCUUUGACGGGUAGCCGGCCUGAGAGGGUGACCGGCCACAUUGGGACUGAGAUACGGCCCAGACUCCUACGGGAGGCAGCAGUGGGGAAUAUUGCACAAUGGGCGGAAGCCUGAUGCAGCAACGCCGCGUGCGGGAUGACGGCCUUCGGGUUGUAAACCGCUUUCGCCUGUGACGAAGCGUGAGUGACGGUAAUGGGUAAAGAAGCACCGGCUAACUACGUG
Molecule: ribosomal RNA, 468 nt
Filed under: uncultured bacterium
Lineage: Bacteria
Description: partial 16S ribosomal RNA
Rfam family: Bacterial small subunit ribosomal RNA
Source: RNAcentral